RNAcentral lists this ribosomal RNA (40 nucleotides) under Japanema entomophagus. RNAcentral's name for it is "partial 18S ribosomal RNA". Lineage: Eukaryota; Metazoa; Nematoda; Chromadorea; Rhabditida; Aphelenchoididae. The record is from RNAcentral.
CGUAACAAGGUAGCUGUAGGUGACCUUCGGCUGGAUCUUA